RNAcentral lists this unclassified non-coding RNA (481 nucleotides) under Anelosimus eximius. RNAcentral describes it as "partial contains tRNA-Leu and 16S ribosomal RNA". The stretch from base 57 to 354 matches the Rfam family "Bacterial large subunit ribosomal RNA", at positions 2074 to 2646 of the family's 2925-position model. The record is from RNAcentral. Lineage: Eukaryota; Metazoa; Arthropoda; Arachnida; Araneae; Theridiidae.
CUUUAUUAAUUUUUUAUAUAUAAUUUAUAUUAAAUAUAAAAAUAUAUUUUUUAAAUAAAAAGACGAUAAGACCCUAUUAAAUUUUACUUAUAGUUUAACUGGGGAAGUUUUAAAAAUAAAAUUUUUUAUAAAAAUAAAAAUAAAUCUAAUAAAAUUAAAAUUAAAUUAAAUUACUAUAGGGAUAACAGCAUUAUAUUUUUUAAAAGUUCAUAUUAAAAAAAAUGAUUGUGACCUCGAUGUUGAAUUAUAUUUUCUUUAUUAAUGCAAUAAUUAUAAAAGUAGAUCUGUUCGAUCUUUAAAAUAUUACAUGAUUUGAGUUCAAACCGGUGUAAACCAGGUUGGUUUCUAUCUUUUUAUAAAUUCAUAUAUAUAUGUAUAUAUAUAUAUAUAUAAAUUUUUCAAGUACGAAAGGAAAAAAAAAUUUUUAUUUUAAUUAAUUAGCAAUUAAUAUGCAUUAGAUUUAGAAUCUAAAUAAACUAUU